This 253-nucleotide ribosomal RNA is filed under the name uncultured bacterium. Its description in RNAcentral is "partial 16S ribosomal RNA". It matches the Rfam family "Bacterial small subunit ribosomal RNA", at positions 524 to 776 of the family's 1533-position model. The record is from RNAcentral.
CACGUAGGGUGCGAGCGUUGUCCGGAAUUAUUGGGCGUAAAGAGCUCGUAGGCGGUUUGUCGCGUCGGCCGUGAAAACUUGGGGCUUAACCCCAAGCCUGCGGUCGAUACGGGCAGACUUGAGUUCGGCAGGGGAGACUGGAAUUCCUGGUGUAGCGGUGAAAUGCGCAGAUAUCAGGAGGAACACCGGUGGCGAAGGCGGGUCUCUGGGCCGAUACUGACGCUGAGGAGCGAAAGCGUGGGGAGCGAACAGG